CGCUGGCGGCGUGCCUAAUACAUGCAAGUCGAGCGGAAUGAUGAAGAAGCUUGCUUCUUCUGAUUUUAGCGGCGGACGGGUGAGUAACACGUGGGCAACCUACCUUGUAGAUUGGGAUAACUCCGGGAAACCGGGGCUAAUACCGAAUAAUCCAUUUUGCUUCAUGGCGAGAUGUUGAAAGGCGGCUUCGGCUGUCACUACGAGAUGGGCCCGCGGCGCAUUAGCUAGUUGGUAGGGUAAUGGCCUACCAAGGCGACGAUGCGUAGCCGACCUGAGAGGGUGAUCGGCCACACUGGGACUGAGACACGGCCCAGACUCCUACGGGAGGCAGCAGUAGGGAAUCUUCCACAAUGGACGAAAGUCUGAUGGAGCAACGCCGCGUGAGUGAAGAAGGUUCUCGGAUCGUAAAACUCUGUUGUAAGGGAAGAACACGUACGAGAGUAACUGCUCGUACCUUGACGGUACCUUAUUAGAAAGCCACGGCUAACUACGUG
Molecule: ribosomal RNA, 494 nt
Filed under: uncultured bacterium
Lineage: Bacteria
Description: bacterial SSU rRNA
Rfam family: Bacterial small subunit ribosomal RNA
Source: RNAcentral